Molecule: long non-coding RNA, 252 nt
Organism: Ostrea edulis (European flat oyster)
Lineage: Eukaryota; Metazoa; Mollusca; Bivalvia; Ostreida; Ostreidae
Exons: 2
Source: RefSeq, a predicted model, not a curated record
ACAGACAUCUACUAUGCACCUAUUGGCAGCCCUAUCGUUCCUGCUUCUUUUGGUUUCCGUAACUUUGGGUCAAUGGAUUGCCGGACCACCGGGCUAUUAUUUUGGGGAUUCACCAGAUUCGCCAGACACACCUGAUUUUGUGUUCGCUGGACCACGCCCCUUCCCGGGACCAUUUCUGUACAGAGGACCUAUCGUCUACGGAUAAACAAAAUGUGCAGACUUAAUGAUUCAUUGAAUAAAGCCUUGAAAUUC